Non-coding RNA from Acanthosepion pharaonis, 113 nucleotides. NCBI's taxonomy places the organism in Eukaryota, Metazoa, Mollusca, Cephalopoda, Sepiida, Sepiidae. The record is from the annotation of a GenBank genome assembly.
UAUGGUCAUAUCAUGCUGAAACAACAGUUCUCGUACAAUCACUGGAGUUAAGCAACGUCAAGCCUGGUCAGUACCAAGAUGGGUGACUGCUUGGAAAUACCAGGUGCUGUAAG